UAGGGAAUCUUCCGCAAUGGGCGAAAGCCUGACGGAGCAACGCCGCGUGAGUGAUGAAGGUCUUCGGAUCGUAAAACUCUGUUAUUAGGGAAGAAAAAAGGUGAAAGAAAUUAUGCACGUCUUGAGGGUACCUAAUCAGAAAGCCACGCCUAACUACGUGCCAGCAGCCGCGGUAAUACGUAGGUGGCAAGCGUUAUCCGGAAUUAUUGGGCGUAAAGCGCGCGUAGGCGGUUUUUUAAGUCUGAUGUGAAAGCCCACGGCUCAACCGUGGAGGGUCAUUGGAAACUGGAAAACUUGAGUGCAGAAGAGGAAAGUGGAAUUCCAUGUGUAGCGGUGAAAUGCGCAGAGAUAUGGAGGAACACCAGUGGCGAAGGCGACUUUCUGGUCUGUAACUGACGCUGAUGUGCGAAAGCGUGGGGAUCAAACAGG
RNAcentral lists this ribosomal RNA (429 nucleotides) under Actinomycetes bacterium. RNAcentral's name for it is "Actinobacteria bacterium partial 16S ribosomal RNA". It matches the Rfam family "Bacterial small subunit ribosomal RNA", at positions 355 to 776 of the family's 1533-position model. The record is from RNAcentral. Lineage: Bacteria; Bacillati; Actinomycetota; Actinomycetes.